This 254-nucleotide ribosomal RNA is filed under the name uncultured bacterium. Its description in RNAcentral is "partial 16S ribosomal RNA". It matches the Rfam family "Bacterial small subunit ribosomal RNA", at positions 524 to 776 of the family's 1533-position model. The record is from RNAcentral.
UACGUAGGGGGCAAGCGUUGUCCGGAUUUAUUGGGCGUAAAGAGCUCGUAGGUGGUUCGGUAAGUCGGAUGUGAAAUCUCCAGGCUCAACCUGGAGGGGUCAUUCGAUACUGCCGUGACUAGAGUUCGGUAGGGGAGUGUGGAAUUCCCGGUGUAGCGGUGAAAUGCGCAGAUAUCGGGAGGAACACCUAUGGCGAAGGCAGCUCGCUGGGACGUUACUGACGCUGAGACGCGAAAGCGUGGGGAGCAAACAGG